UUCAAUCUAAAGCCGGUUGAUAUGUCGAA
RNAcentral lists this small RNA (29 nucleotides) under Bombyx mori (domestic silkworm). RNAcentral's name for it is "ovarian small RNA-36980". The record is from RNAcentral. Lineage: Eukaryota; Metazoa; Arthropoda; Insecta; Lepidoptera; Bombycidae.